RNAcentral lists this ribosomal RNA (497 nucleotides) under uncultured bacterium. RNAcentral's name for it is "partial 16S ribosomal RNA". It matches the Rfam family "Bacterial small subunit ribosomal RNA", at positions 28 to 507 of the family's 1533-position model. The record is from RNAcentral.
GAUGAACGCUGGCGGCGUGCCUAAUACAUGCAAGUCGAGCGAACGGACGAGAAGCUUGCUUCUCUGAUGUUAGCGGCGGACGGGUAAGUAACACGUGGAUAACCUACCUAUAAGACUGGGAUAACUUCGGGAAACCGUAGCUAAUACCGGAUAAUAUUUUGAACCGCAUGGUUCAAAAGUGAAAGACGGUCUUGCUGUCACUUAUAGAUGGAUCCGCGCUGCAUUAGCUAGUUGGUAAGGUAACGGCUUACCAAGGCAACGAUGCAUAGCCGACCUGAGGGGGUGAUCGGCCACACUGGAACUGAGACACGGUCCAGACUCCUACGGGAGGCAGCAGUAGGGAAUCUUCCGCAAUGGGCGAAAGCCUGACGGAGCAACGCCGCGUGAGUGAUGAAGGUCUUCGGAUCGUAAAACUCUGUUAUUAGGGAAGAACAUAUGUGUAAGUAACUGUGCACAUCUUGACGGUACCUAAUCAGAAAGCCACGGCUAACUACGUG